UUUAAGGAGUCUCGCAUCUGGACAGUAUAGGUUUCGGUUCUUGUUCCCCAGAAAAAGUGUGUUUUGGCAGGAAAACAAGAUCCUAUAUAGAUGUUGGCCACAAAGGAUUCCUUGCGGAGUCAAUUCGUCAGCUUCGGGAGUAGAUUGUGUGUGGACUACGCUACUCCAGCUUCCAGGACCUUGCUCUCGUUCCAGCCCUGCCUUGUUCCCCGGACCUCGCCACGGAUUUCGCCACGGACCCUGUUCUUGCUCCUCGCUUCUUGUUGCCUUGAAUCAAGCCUUGUUUGCCAAGAAUCUAGUUUGCUCCCCAGCCUUGCAUCAAGCUCCAUGGACUAAAGGACCUUGUCAUUGCUCCUCGCUUCUUGUUGCCUUGAAUCAAGCCUUGUUUGCCAAGAAUCUAGUUUGCUCUCCAGCCUUGCAUCAAGCUCCAUGGACUAAAGGACCGUGUCAUUUCCCCUCACUUUGCUUGGCAAAGUGUGUGUUUCGGUUAUUGGAUUACAACUUUGGACUUUAAUAUCUCAUAUUGGACAUUGUUUUCCUGGACUAUAUUUGACCUUUCCUGAAAGGUCUUCUUCUGAACUUUAUUCUACACUUGUUUUUAUUAACUUUAUAUAUUUCCUCAAUAAAGAUAUUAGAUAGAUUCUGGCCUCUGUGUAUGGUUAUUGGUGCUCUGCAGCCUGGGUCCUGACAAACGCUCUCUACGUGGGGUUGCCUUUGAAGACGGCCCGGAAGCUCCAACUAGUACAACGGGCGGCAGCCAGAUUAAUAAUUGGGGCAGCUUACAGGGAGCAUACCACCCCCCUGCUAAGCCAGCUCCACUGGCUGCCGAUAUGCUACCGAGCCCAAUUCAAAGUGCUGGUCUUGACCUAUAAAGCCCUAAACGGUUCUGGCCCAAUCUACUUGUCCGAACGUAUCUCCUCCUAUGAGCCAGGAAGAUCCCUAAGGUCAUCUGGAGAGGCCCUGCUCUCGGUCCCACCUGUCUCACAGGCGCAGCUGGUGGGGACGAGGGACAGGGCCUUCUCGGUGGUGGCUCCCCGGCUGUGGAACACCCUCCCCAGAGAAAUACGGCACGCCCCAACCCUUCUGAGUUUUAGAAAAGCCCUGAAAACAUGGCUAUGUGCCCAGGCUUUCAAAGAUUAAAUGAUAAAAGACGACCCUGGACUGAUUUACGGCUACAGCACAAGGAUUUUGGAGGAAUGGAUUUUAAUCAUAUGUUUUAUAUUUUUCUAUUGUUUUAAUUGUUUUAUUGGAUUUUCAUUGCUGUUUUAAUUAUGUGCAGGCAUUGAAUUGUUGCCAAUUUGUACGCUGCCCUGAGUCCCUUCGGGUUAGAAGGGCGGGAUAUAAAUGUUGUAAAUAAAUAAAUAAAUAAAUAAAUAAAUAGAGGCAGGUAAUAAAGUCAUCAUCAUCAUCACUGAUGACAGAACGACUGGAAGGUCAUUCAUUGUUAGGGUCAUCAUGGGUCAAAGCUGAUUUAAUGGUAAUUAACAAGAAGAAGACCUGUCAUGUCUAUUUACAUUGGGUAUUCCUAACUAUUCCAGUCUGUGUAGAAGUCUUCAAAGAAAUGAAGUUCACAGGUAUUUUGUGCAUAUAUUUCAAAUGAAUGAAUUAAUGGAUGCUUGAUCCAUUAACUGAACCAUUUUAUACAUUCUAGAAAUGAUGUAAAGCAUUUAUCAAAUGUGCCUAUAUUGACAUAUCCUUUUUUAUUUCUUUCACAAAUGCAGCAUAAUCUCAGAAAUAUAAGCUGUACAUAGUUCCAUGUUCAGUCCAACAUGUGCAGAACUGAGUAUAUCUCUAGAGUGUAAAUGAGGGUUGAAGUCCUUUAUGGAAUGGAUUUAUCAUACAUCCCUAAUAUUUUUAGUGAUAUGCAAGAGAAUUAGAAAAUUCUUGGAGGAUAAAAUUAUCAACUGUUACAAGUCACAAUUACUCCAGGAAAUAAUGCCCGGCUGCUCACUGGAGGGAAGGAUAUUAGAGGCAAAGAUGAAGUAUUUUGGCCACAUCAUGAGAAGACAGGGCCAGAAAAGCAGAUGGAGGAGGC
RNAcentral lists this long non-coding RNA (2035 nucleotides) under Anolis carolinensis (green anole). Its description in RNAcentral is "lncRNA (ENSACAG00000040487.1)". The record is from RNAcentral. Lineage: Eukaryota; Metazoa; Chordata; Lepidosauria; Squamata; Anolidae.